This 627-nucleotide ribosomal RNA is filed under the name uncultured Verrucomicrobiota bacterium. RNAcentral describes it as "bacterial SSU rRNA". It matches the Rfam family "Bacterial small subunit ribosomal RNA", at positions 70 to 680 of the family's 1533-position model. The record is from RNAcentral. Lineage: Bacteria; Pseudomonadati; Verrucomicrobiota.
UUCGUUGUAGCAAUACGAUGGAAAAUUUAGUGGCGAACGGGUGCUUAACACGUGGGCAACCUGCCAGGAAGUGGGGGAUAGCUCGCCGAAAGGCGAAUUAAUACCGCAUGUGAUUAGAGAGGACAUCCUUUCGAAAUUAAAGUCGGGGCAACCUGACGCUUCUUGUGGGGCCCGCGGCCUAUCAGCUAGUUGGUGAGGUAACGGCUCACCAAGGCGUUGACGGGUAGCUGGUCAGAGAGGACGACCAGCCACACUGGGACUGAGUCACGGCCCAGACACCUACGGGUGGCAGCAGUCGAGAAUUUUUGACAAUGGGGGAAACCCUGAUCGAGCGACGCCGCGUGGAGGAUGAAGGUCUUCGGAUUGUAAACUCCUGUCAUUGGGGAGCAAUGCACAGAUAUUAACUGUAUUUGUGUUGAUAGUACCCGAAGAGGAAGAGACGGCUAACUCUGUGCCAGCAGCCGCGGUAAUACAGAGGUCUCAAGCGUUGUUCGGAUUCAUUGGGCGUAAAGGGUGCGUAGGCGGCGCGGUAAGUCGGGUGUGAAAUCUCGGAGCUUAACUUCGAAACUGCAUUCGAUACUGCCGUGCUUGAGGACUGGAGAGGAGACUGGAAUUCUCGGUGUAGCA